CCCCCCCCCCCCCGCCGCCCCCGCGGGAUCGUUCGGGGGCAGCCGGGUGAAAACGGGAGGGACGGAGAAGGAGACGACGGGGCGGAGAAGCGGGCGGCCGAGGCGGCAGCUGUUUCCUGUCAGUGACCCUACGGCAUGAUGGUUAGGCUCUAUGAGGCGGCCUGUCACUCCCCAUUUGGCCUCCUCGCCGUGACAGCGGCUCUGAUGGCUCCUGACGUUCACCACCGACUUUCCCAGCACACGGAGGCUGACAUUUCUCAGAGACGCUUCACCCGGCCCGGAGGAGAGCGAUGAGGAACCUGGAGUCGACCCAAGAGAGAAGAAGAGCUCCUGGGGAUGGUGGUCAGGGGUUCAGUUUAGGGGAAGGGAGCGUAGGAGAAAAGAAGGGAGGAAGGGGGCAGGAGGCGAGGCGUUAGCGGGAGGCGAGUGGAUAGCAGAGGAGGACAAAAACGAAGCAGAGGUCAGGGGAAGGGAGGCCGAUCUUUGAGAAGAUCAGUAAGCCAUCCGGGGCCCGGGACCACUGCGCUGAUCGUUUCCUUCUGAGGGAUUCAGCUCAACACCCGGCUGCCUGCACACACAAGCCCCCCCCCACACACACACACACACACAGCGCAGGACAGUCCUAGAGAGAGACAUGCAGUCGCAGGACGGAGAGCAGAUACAGCAGCUCAGAUCUCAUUGUUUGAACGCAAUGCCAAAGAAAAAGAUGCAGUGAGUAAAAUUGGAAACGCAAAAUAAAGAAUAGUCUGUACACAUUGAGUUUAAAUUCUGCAGAAUCAAGAGAUGCAUUCUGAUUUUUUUUUCUUCCAACAAUUUGUACGAGUCAUUAUUUUACCACUGGAAAUCAUCCGGUUGAGAGAUAUUCAUUUAUUUUUCCUCAUGGAACCAUUUGCUUUGACGAGAUUUAAAUUCACGUUCAAAAGCUUCCCACCUCUGAUCUUUGCUGUUUCCUCCACACUCUUUUAUAUAAAUGUAUUUAUAUAUUUUUUGAUUCGUUAUUUCUGUUCCUCACCUUAAUGCUGCCAAUAAUCAGACAAACACAGCAUGUGAGUAAUUCAAUUCUUAAUGUCUUCAGUAUUCAGAGCAAAGCAGAAACACACAACAAGGAUUCAACCCAGAAAAACGUCCACAUUCUGUUUUAAAAACCGAGCACCUAACCUUCGCCAACAUAGUGCAAGUUGUUAUACUGCAUCUCGGCUGCGAGGUAGAGACCACAUUUGACAAUUCAGGGGGGAGAGAGGGAGAAGAGGGACGGCCGUG
This is a long non-coding RNA of Gasterosteus aculeatus aculeatus (three-spined stickleback), 1260 nucleotides long. The record is from Ensembl. NCBI's taxonomy places the organism in Eukaryota, Metazoa, Chordata, Actinopteri, Perciformes, Gasterosteidae.